AAAAUGCGAUACUUGGUGUGAAUUGCAGAAUCCCGUGAACCAUCGAGUUUUUGAACGCAAGUUGCGCCCGAAGCCAUCCGGCUGAGGGCACGCCUACCUGGGCGUCACGCAUCGCGUCGCUCCCCACCAUACCUCCCCAACGGGUUGGCAUGGUGUUGGGGGCGGAUAAUGGCCUCCCGUGCUUGUGUUUCGGUUGGCCUAAAUAAGAGUUCCCUUCGGCGGACACACGACUAGUGGUGGUUGAAUAGACCCUCGUCUUUUGUUGCGUGUCGUGAGCUGUAAGGGUAGCCCUCAUCAAAGACCCCAUUGUAUCGUCUUCGGAUGAUGCUUCGACCGCGACCCCAGGUCAGGCGGGACUACCCGCUGAGUUUAAGC
This 375-nucleotide unclassified non-coding RNA is filed under the name plant metagenome. RNAcentral describes it as "partial contains 5.8S ribosomal RNA, internal transcribed spacer 2, and large subunit ribosomal RNA". The stretch from base 1 to 107 matches the Rfam family "5.8S ribosomal RNA", at positions 50 to 154 of the family's 154-position model. The record is from RNAcentral.